GGGUUGUGAGGUUAAGCGACUAAGCGUACACGGUGGAUGCCCUGGCAGUCAGAGGCGAUGAAGGACGUGCUAAUCUGCGAUAAGCGUCGGUAAGGUGAUAUGAACCGUUAUAACCGGCGAUUUCCGAAUGGGGAAACCCAGUGUGUUUCGACACACUAUCAUUAACUGAAUCCAUAGGUUAAUGAGGCGAACCGGGGGAACUGAAACAUCUAAGUACCCCGAGGAAAAGAAAUCAACCGAGAUUCCCCCAGUAGCGGCGAGCGAACGGGGAGGAGCCCAGAGCCUGAAUCAGUGUGUGUGUUAGUGGAAGCGUCUGGAAAGGCGCGCGAUACAGGGUGACAGCCCCGUACACAAAAAUGCACAUAUUGUGAGCUCGAUGAGUAGGGCGGGACACGUGGUAUCCUGUCUGAAUAUGGGGGGACCAUCCUCCAAGGCUAAAUACUCCUGACUGACCGAUAGUGAACCAGUACCGUGAGGGAAAGGCGAAAAGAACCCCGGCGAGGGGAGUGAAAAAGAACCUGAAACCGUGUACGUACAAGCAGUGGGAGCACAGAGCAAUCUGUGUGACUGCGUACCUUUUGUAUAAUGGGUCAGCGACUUAUAUUCUGUAGCAAGGUUAACCGAAUAGGGGAGCCGAAGGGAAACCGAGUCUUAACUGGGCGUUAAGUUGCAGGGUAUAGACCCGAAACCCGGUGAUCUAGCCAUGGGCAGGUUGAAGGUUGGGUAACACUAACUGGAGGACCGAACCGACUAAUGUUGAAAAAUUAGCGGAUGACUUGUGGCUGGGGGUGAAAGGCCAAUCAAACCGGGAGAUAGCUGGUUCUCCCCGAAAGCUAUUUAGGUAGCGCCUCGUGAACUCAUCUCCGGGGGUAGAGCACUGUUUCGGCAAGGGGGUCAUCCCGACUUACCAACCCGAUGCAAACUGCGAAUACCGGAGAAUGUUAUCACGGGAGACACACGGCGGGUGCUAACGUCCGUCGUGAAGAGGGAAACAACCCAGACCGCCAGCUAAGGUCCCAAAGUCAUGGUUAAGUGGGAAACGAUGUGGGAAGGCCCAGACAGCCAGGAUGUUGGCUUAGAAGCAGCCAUCAUUUAAAGAAAGCGUAAUAGCUCACUGGUCGAGUCGGCCUGCGCGGAAGAUGUAACGGGGCUAAACCAUGCACCGAAGCUGCGGCAGCGACACUAUGUGUUGUUGGGUAGGGGAGCGUUCUGUAAGCCUGUGAAGGUGUACUGUGAGGUAUGCUGGAGGUAUCAGAAGUGCGAAUGCUGACAUAAGUAACGAUAAAGCGGGUGAAAAGCCCGCUCGCCGGAAGACCAAGGGUUCCUGUCCAACGUUAAUCGGGGCAGGGUGAGUCGACCCCUAAGGCGAGGCCGAAAGGCGUAGUCGAUGGGAAACAGGUUAAUAUUCCUGUACUUGGUGUUACUGCGAAGGGGGGACGGAGAAGGCUAUGUUGGCCGGGCGACGGUUGUCCCGGUUUAAGCGUGUAGGCUGGUUUUCCAGGCAAAUCCGGAAAAUCAAGGCUGAGGCGUGAUGACGAGGCACUACGGUGCUGAAGCAACAAAUGCCCUGCUUCCAGGAAAAGCCUCUAAGCAUCAGGUAACAUCAAAUCGUACCCCAAACCGACACAGGUGGUCAGGUAGAGAAUACCAAGGCGCUUGAGAGAACUCGGGUGAAGGAACUAGGCAAAAUGGUGCCGUAACUUCGGGAGAAGGCACGCUGAUAUGUAGGUGAAGCGACUUGCUCGUGGAGCUGAAAUCAGUCGAAGAUACCAGCUGGCUGCAACUGUUUAUUAAAAACACAGCACUGUGCAAACACGAAAGUAGACGUAUACGGUGUGACGCCUGCCCGGUGCCGGAAGGUUAAUUGAUGGGGUCAGCGCAAGCGAAGCUCUUGAUCGAAGCCCCGGUAAACGGCGGCCGUAACUAUAACGGUCCUAAGGUAGCGAAAUUCCUUGUCGGGUAAGUUCCGACCUGCACGAAUGGCGUAAUGAUGGCCAGGCUGUCUCCACCCGAGACUCAGUGAAAUUGAACUCGCUGUGAAGAUGCAGUGUACCCGCGGCAAGACGGAAAGACCCCGUGAACCUUUACUAUAGCUUGACACUGAACAUUGAGCCUUGAUGUGUAGGAUAGGUGGGAGGCUUUGAAGUGUGGACGCCAGUCUGCAUGGAGCCGACCUUGAAAUACCACCCUUUAAUGUUUGAUGUUCUAACGUUGACCCGUAAUCCGGGUUGCGGACAGUGUCUGGUGGGUAGUUUGACUGGGGCGGUCUCCUCCUAAAGAGUAACGGAGGAGCACGAAGGUUGGCUAAUCCUGGUCGGACAUCAGGAGGUUAGUGCAAUGGCAUAAGCCAGCUUGACUGCGAGCGUGACGGCGCGAGCAGGUGCGAAAGCAGGUCAUAGUGAUCCGGUGGUUCUGAAUGGAAGGGCCAUCGCUCAACGGAUAAAAGGUACUCCGGGGAUAACAGGCUGAUACCGCCCAAGAGUUCAUAUCGACGGCGGUGUUUGGCACCUCGAUGUCGGCUCAUCACAUCCUGGGGCUGAAGUAGGUCCCAAGGGUAUGGCUGUUCGCCAUUUAAAGUGGUACGCGAGCUGGGUUUAGAACGUCGUGAGACAGUUCGGUCCCUAUCUGCCGUGGGCGCUGGAGAACUGAGGGGGGCUGCUCCUAGUACGAGAGGACCGGAGUGGACGCAUCACUGGUGUUCGGGUUGUCAUGCCAAUGGCACUGCCCGGUAGCUAAAUGCGGAAGAGAUAAGUGCUGAAAGCAUCUAAGCACGAAACUUGCCCCGAGAUGAGUUCUCCCUGACCCUUUAAGGGUCCUGAAGGAACGUUGAAGACGACGACGUUGAUAGGCCGGGUGUGUAAGCGCAGCGAUGCGUUGAGCUAACCGGUACUAAUGAACCGUGAGGCUUAACCUUACAACGCCGAAGCUGUU
Molecule: ribosomal RNA, 2931 nt
Filed under: Escherichia coli
Lineage: Bacteria; Pseudomonadati; Pseudomonadota; Gammaproteobacteria; Enterobacterales; Enterobacteriaceae
Description: 23S ribosomal RNA
Rfam family: Bacterial large subunit ribosomal RNA
Source: RNAcentral